RNAcentral lists this ribosomal RNA (482 nucleotides) under uncultured bacterium. RNAcentral describes it as "SSU rRNA". It matches the Rfam family "Bacterial small subunit ribosomal RNA", at positions 26 to 518 of the family's 1533-position model. The record is from RNAcentral.
AGGACGAACGCUGGCGGCGUGCCUAACACAUGCAAGUGGAGCGACGAACCAGGCUUCGGCCUGGGGCAAAGCCGCGAACGGGUGAGUAACACGUGGGUAACCUGCCCCGAUGAUUGGGACAACCCGAGGAAACUCGGGCUAAUACCGAAUGUGCCCUCCGACCAUAAGGUCGCUGGGGAAAGGAAGCUUCGGCCUCCGCAUCGGGAUGGGCCCGCGGCCCAUUAGCUUGUUGGUGAGGUAACGGCUCACCAAGGCUGCGAUGGGUAGCUGGUCUGAGAGGACGAUCAGCCACACUGGGACUGAGACACGGCCCAGACUCCUACGGGAGGCAGCAGUGGGGGAAUCUUGCGCAAUGCGCGAAAGCGUGACGCAGCAACGCCGCGUGGGGGAAGAAGGCCUUCGGGUUGUAAAGCUCUUUUGUGCGGGAAGAUAAUGACGGUACCGCAAGAAUAAGGCCCGGCCAACUACGUGCCAGCAGCCGC